Molecule: long non-coding RNA, 91 nt
Filed under: Macaca mulatta (Rhesus monkey)
Lineage: Eukaryota; Metazoa; Chordata; Mammalia; Primates; Cercopithecidae
Description: lncRNA (ENSMMUG00000061335.1)
Source: RNAcentral
UAGACUCCAGGUGCAGGAAGGUUCUGGUGCUGGAAGCUUCCUAGAGGACUGGUCUCUAUCCCCUUCCCAGAGAUAGAGCAGACUGAAGACU